GGCUAACGCUGGCGGCGUGUCUUAGCCAUGCAAGUCGAGCGGACUUAUGGGGUAACUUAUAAGUCAGCGGCGGACGGCGGAGUAACACGUAGCUAACCUACCCUCUGGACGGGGAUAACCUACCGAAAGGUGGGCUAAUACCCGAUGUAGUCAUCCUGUAUAGGGGUGAUGAAAGGUGGGCUUCUGUUUACAAGCUCAUGCUGGAGGAGGGGGCUGCGGCCUAUCAGGUAGUUGGUAGGGUAAUAGCCUACCAAGCCGAUGACGGGUAGCCGGCCUGAGAGGGUGACCGGCCCGAGGGGCACUGAGAUACGGGUCCCACUCCUACGGGAGGCAGCAGGCUAGAAAUUUGGGCAAUGGGGGGAAACCCUGACCCAGUGACGCCGCGUGCAGGAAGGAGCCCUUCGGGGUGUAAACUGCUGUCGUGUAGGGAGAAGGGUACUAAGGUGAACAAUCUUAGUACUUGACGGUACUACAGGAGGAAGCCCAGGCUAACCUCGUG
RNAcentral lists this ribosomal RNA (499 nucleotides) under uncultured bacterium. RNAcentral describes it as "bacterial SSU rRNA". It matches the Rfam family "Bacterial small subunit ribosomal RNA", at positions 28 to 507 of the family's 1533-position model. The record is from RNAcentral.